This 275-nucleotide ribosomal RNA is filed under the name uncultured bacterium. Its description in RNAcentral is "partial 16S ribosomal RNA". It matches the Rfam family "Bacterial small subunit ribosomal RNA", at positions 399 to 691 of the family's 1533-position model. The record is from RNAcentral.
GCGUGAGUGAUGAAGGCCUUCGGGUUGUAAAGCUCUUUUGGCGGGGACGAUGAUGACGGUACCCGCAGAAUAAGCUCCGGCUAACUUCGUGCCAGCAGCCGCGGUAAUACGAAGGGAGCUAGCGUUGUUCGGAAUUACUGGGCGUAAAGGGCGUGUAGGCGGUCCGGCAAGUCAGAUGUGAAAGCCCUGGGCUCAACCCGGGAAUUGCGUUUGAUACUGCCGGUCUAGAAUUCGGGAGAGGUUGGUGGAAUUCCCAGUGUAGAGGUGAAAUUCGU